GUAAGACAGAUGAUCGCUGCUGCAUGACCGAAAGGAUGCAGGAGAGGAAAGUCCGGGCUUCACAGGGCAGGGUGCCAGAUAACGUCUGGCGGAGGUGACUCCAGGGACAGUGCAACAGAAAUAAACCGCCCGCGAAAGCGGGUAAGGGUGGAAAGGCAGUGUAAGAGACUACCGCCUCGCUGGUAACAGAGAGGGCACAUGUAAACCCCACUCGAAGCAAGACCGAACAGGGAGCAUAAGGCGGCCCGUCUGCUUCCGGGUAGGUCGCUUGAGCCGUCUGGUGACAGGCGGACUAGAUAGAUGAUCAUCCACGACAUAACCCGGCUUAUCGUUUUGCUC
RNAcentral lists this RNase P RNA (339 nucleotides) under pig gut metagenome. RNAcentral's name for it is "Bacterial RNase P class A". It matches the Rfam family "Bacterial RNase P class A". Rfam says of the family: Ribonuclease P (RNase P) is a ubiquitous endoribonuclease, found in archaea, bacteria and eukarya as well as chloroplasts and mitochondria. Its best characterised activity is the generation of mature 5'-ends of tRNAs by cleaving the 5'-leader elements of precursor-tRNAs. Cellular RNase Ps are ribonucleoproteins. The record is from RNAcentral.